Molecule: long non-coding RNA, 607 nt
Filed under: Junco hyemalis (dark-eyed junco)
Lineage: Eukaryota; Metazoa; Chordata; Aves; Passeriformes; Passerellidae
Description: lncRNA (ENSJHYG00000009568.1)
Source: RNAcentral
CAGAGGUAUUUCUUAGUAGAUAAGAACAUUAUUUACACCCAGCCUUAGAAAGGAAAGAAGAGGUUGUCAGUGAGCUACAACCUUUAUUGUACCUGUUAUCGUUUGCAUGGCAAAGGCGCUUCACCGUGCUCAGACCCCAUCCUGAAGGGCCAAGGAUGUUGUGGGGCCUGCACUGCCUGCCUUAGCUCUGAGCUCUGAAAGGGCUGGAGAUGUGCACCAGAGCUGGGGGAGGGAGGGCCAGAAGGACAAAGUACAGCUUUAUUCUCCAGCUGCUUUCUGAUAUCAUGAAGGUAACCAGGAGGGAAGUCUGUAUGAAAUGCUCCUUUCCAAUGGCAGAUUCCCCUGUCUGCACCAUUCCCUGGACAGAACCACUUGGACAAUCAAACCAAGAGCAAGGAUCCUGCAAACAGCUUUUCUCUUCCUUGCGGACAACUGAUGAGCCAGAUUGUCUACCAAGGUCCUGAUGCCAGCUGCUCUGGCCUCCCCUCACCCUCUGCCCUUUUGUGUGGGGUGGCUCUGUGGGCAACCUGUGCACCUCACCUGUGAGAAACAGCCCCAAGAACAUGGGAGUAGGAUAAUAAAGUCAGGCAACCAUCAAAGAUCUCCA